Molecule: ribosomal RNA, 139 nt
Filed under: Drosophila melanogaster (fruit fly)
Lineage: Eukaryota; Metazoa; Arthropoda; Insecta; Diptera; Drosophilidae
Description: partial ribosomal RNA
Rfam family: Eukaryotic small subunit ribosomal RNA
Source: RNAcentral
AUUCUGGUUGAUCCUGCCAGUAGUUAUAUGCUUGUCUCAAAGAUUAAGCCAUGCAUGUCUAAGUACACACGAAUUAAAAGUGAAACCGCAAAAGGCUCAUUAUAUCAGUUAUGGUUCCUUAGAUCGUUAACAGUUACUU